AUGAAAGCGUUGUUUAUAGCCGCCCAGACGACUGACUGGUUAACAUGUCACGGGGCGGAAUUAACGCGAUUGAUCAUCUCUAUUAAGAUAUAUAUACUCUAUAAUGCGACUAAUAUGCGCGAUUGGUGCUCCUGUAGCUGCAGGCCUGAAACUGUUGAGGGCCUCUGUUUAAUCCCCCUGAACAGAGAGCAUAUCAGCAGUGCUACAUUGAUGGAGCCAUGGAGGGAAGUUCGAACUCAGGUUAACUCUGCUCAAAACUUUGUGAGGGAACAGAACAGUAGCCGGAUGAAGGCGAGAUCGAAGAGCAGCUUUGGCAUCAAGGGAAAGGUAAUAGUAAAACUGGUGCAUGCACAUUGA
Molecule: ribosomal RNA, 357 nt
Filed under: Triticum aestivum (bread wheat)
Lineage: Eukaryota; Viridiplantae; Streptophyta; Magnoliopsida; Poales; Poaceae
Description: partial small subunit ribosomal RNA
Source: RNAcentral